Molecule: ribosomal RNA, 252 nt
Filed under: uncultured bacterium
Lineage: Bacteria
Description: partial 16S ribosomal RNA
Rfam family: Bacterial small subunit ribosomal RNA
Source: RNAcentral
UACGUAAGGUCCGAGCGUUGUCCGGAAUCAUUGGGCGUAAAGGGUAUGUAGGUGGAUAAGCAAGUUACGAGUUAAAUCCUAGAGCUCAACUAUAGUAAGCUUUUGAAACUGCUCAGCUUGAGGGAUGGAAAGGAAAGUGGAAUUCCUAGUGAAGCGGUGAAAUGCGCAGAUAUUAGGAGGAAUACCGGUGGCGAAGGCGACUUUCUGGGCAUAAACUGACACUGAGGGACGAAAGCGUGGGUAGCAAACAGG